This 173-nucleotide microRNA precursor is filed under the name Glycine max (soybean). RNAcentral describes it as "miR5773 stem-loop (gma-MIR5773)". The record is from miRBase by way of RNAcentral. Lineage: Eukaryota; Viridiplantae; Streptophyta; Magnoliopsida; Fabales; Fabaceae.
GAUUUUCUUAUUUUUAAAAGGUUCAGUUAGGUCCUUUAUUUUUUAAAAUGGGUUCAAUUUGGUCCCACUUAAACUCAUUUUUUGAAAAUGUUCGAAGCUGUUGGAAGAAAAUGGGACCAACCCAAUUUAAAAAAUAAAAGACCUAAUUGAACCUUUUAAAAAUAAAGGGACCA